ACAAUGCAGACAUUCAAGGAAUGUUAAGGACAGUAUGUUAUGGCGUGCUACAUUUUUCCCAUCAUAAACUAUUGAUUUCCCUCGUGCUAACCUAAGGACCUUGUGCUGUUCCUCAAAUAUUUCCAAAUCAACUUGAAUUGCAGAAAUGUUCUAUAUAUAUCUUUACACAUGGUACGCAGCCUAGAAAUUCAAAAUAUUCAUACAUUUGGAAAUAUUUAAGCAACGACACAAGGGUCUGUGGUGCUAAUGUGAAGCUGACUUGGACAGUUAAAGGAAUGCAGUAUCUAUAUAUAUUAGUCUGUUACAACUUGAUAAAUGAUGGAUAUGAAAUAAAAGAAUUUUCACUUCAUUAGUAAUACACCAUGUUACUAAUAGUGAAAAUGUAUUGUGUGAAA
Molecule: long non-coding RNA, 395 nt
Organism: Haliotis rubra (blacklip abalone)
Lineage: Eukaryota; Metazoa; Mollusca; Gastropoda; Lepetellida; Haliotidae
Exons: 3
Source: RefSeq, a predicted model, not a curated record